RNAcentral lists this ribosomal RNA (526 nucleotides) under Pseudomonas putida. Its description in RNAcentral is "bacterial SSU rRNA". It matches the Rfam family "Bacterial small subunit ribosomal RNA", at positions 1 to 522 of the family's 1533-position model. Lineage: Bacteria; Pseudomonadati; Pseudomonadota; Gammaproteobacteria; Pseudomonadales; Pseudomonadaceae. The record is from RNAcentral.
UGGAGAAGUUUGAUCCUGGCUCAGAUUGAACGCCGGCGGCAGGCCUAACACAUGCAAGUCGAGCGGAUGAGAAGAGCUUGCUCUUCGAUUCAGCGGCGGACGGGUGAGUAAUACCUAGGAAUCUGCCUGGUAGUGGGGGACANCGUUUCGAAAGGAACGCUAAUACCGCAUACGUCCUACGGGUAGAAAGCAGGGGACCUUCGGGCCUUGCGCUAUCAGAUGAGCCUAGGUCGGAUUAGCUAGUUGGUGAGGUAAUGGCUCACCAAGGCUACGAUCCGUAACUGGUCUGAGAGGAUGAUCAGUCACACUGGAACUGAGACACGGUCCAGACUCCUACGGGAGGCAGCAGUGGGGAAUAUUGGACAAUGGGCGAAAGCCUGAUCCAUGCCAUGCCGCGUGUGUGAAGAAGGUCUUCGGAUUGUAAAGCACUUUAAGUUGGGAGGAAGGGCAGUACAGCGAAUCACCUCGCUGUUUUGACGUUACCACAGAAUAAGCACCGGCUAACUCUGUGCCAGCAGCCGCGGUA